ACCUACGGGAGGCAGCAGUGGGGAAUAUUGCGCAAUGGGCGAAAGCCUGACGCAGCGACGCCGCGUGAGGGAUGAAGGUCUUCGGAUCGUAAACCUCUGUCAGCAGGGAAGAACGGUCACUGUGCUAAUCAGCAGUGAAUUGACGGUACCUGCAAAGGAAGCACCGGCUAACUCCGUGCCAGCAGCCGCGGUAAUACGGAGGGGGCGGGCGUUAAUCGGAAUUACUGGGCGUAAAGCGCUCGUAGGCGGUAUGUCAAGUCAAGGGGGAAAUCCCCGCGCUCAACGGGGGAACUGCCUUUGAAACU
Molecule: ribosomal RNA, 305 nt
Filed under: uncultured bacterium
Lineage: Bacteria
Description: bacterial SSU rRNA
Rfam family: Bacterial small subunit ribosomal RNA
Source: RNAcentral